AGAGUUUGAUCCUGGCUCAGAACGAACGCUGGCGGCGUGGAUGAGGCAUGCAAGUCGAACGGGGUUUGGUUUGUUAGCAAUAACGUUCCAAACCUAGUGGCGAAAGGGUGAGUAACGCGUGGGCAACCUGCCCCUAACUCUGGGAUAGCCCGGGGAAACCUGGAUUAAUACCGGAUGUGGUCUUUGGGUGGCAUCUCCCGAAGAUUAAAGUUUUUCGGUUAAGGAGGGGCCCGCGUCCUAUUAGCUUGUUGGUGAGGUAACGGCCCACCAAGGCAAAGAUGGGUAGCCGGACUGAGAGGUUGGUCGGCCACACUGGGACUGAGACACUGCCCAGACUCCUACGGGAGGCUGCAGUCGAGAAUCAUUGUCAAUGGGCGAAAGCCUGAACAUGCGACGCCGCGUGUGCGAUGAAGGCCUUCGGGUUGUAAAGCACUUUCAGCAGGGAAGAAAGCUUCGGUUUGACGGUACCUGCAGAAGAAGCCCCGGCUAAUUACGUGCCAGCAGCCGCGGUAAUACGUAAGGGGCGAGCGUUGUUCGGAUUUACUGGGCGUAAAGGGUGUCUAGGCGGCGCGUCAAGUCGGGAGUGAAAUCCCACGGCUUACCCGUGGAAUUGCUUCCGAAACUGGCGAGCUUGAGUGAGGGAGAGGAUAGCGGAAUUCCCGGUGUAGCGGUGGAAUGCGUAGAUAUCGGGAAGAACACUCGUGGCGAAGGCGGCUAUCUGGACCUUAGCUGACGCUGAAGCACGAAAGCCAGGGGAGCGAACGGGAUUAGAUACCCCGGUAGUCCUGGCCGUAAACGAUGUGCACUUGGUGUAGGAGGUAUCGACCCCUUCUGUGCCGAAGCUAACGCAUUAAGUGCACCGCCUGGGGAGUACGACCGCAAGGUUGAAACUCAAAGGAAUUGACGGGGGCCCGCACAAGCGGUGGAGCAUGUGGUUUAAUUCGAUGCAACGCGAAGAACCUUACCAGGGCUUGACAUGUAGCUGCACGUCCCGUGAAAGCGGGAUUCCUUCGAGGGUGCUACACAGGUGCUGCAUGGCUGUCGUCAGCUCGUGUCGUGAGAUGUUGGGUUAAGUCCCGCAACGAGCGCAACCCUUGUUGCUAGUUGCCAGCACUUCGGGUGGGAACUCUAGCAAGACUGCCGGUGUUAAACCGGAGGAAGGUGGGGAUGACGUCAAGUCAGUAUGGCCCUUACGUCCUGGGCGACACACGUGCUACAAUGGCCGGUACAGAGGGUAGCCAAGCCGCGAGGUGGAGCCAAUCCCAGAAAGCCGGCCCAAGUUCGGAUUGGAGUCUGCAACUCGACUCCAUGAAGUUGGAAUCGCUAGUAACGGCGUAUCAGCCAUGACGCCGUGAAUACGUUCCCGGGCCUUGUACACACCGCCCGUCACAUCACGAAAGCCUACUGUACCCGAAGUCGCUGGUCCAACCCGCAAGGGGGGAAGGCGCCGAAGGUAUGGUCGGUGAUUGGGAUGAAGUCGUAACAAGGUA
RNAcentral lists this ribosomal RNA (1490 nucleotides) under metagenome. RNAcentral's name for it is "bacterial SSU rRNA". It matches the Rfam family "Bacterial small subunit ribosomal RNA". The record is from RNAcentral.